This 484-nucleotide ribosomal RNA is filed under the name uncultured bacterium. Its description in RNAcentral is "partial 16S ribosomal RNA". It matches the Rfam family "Bacterial small subunit ribosomal RNA", at positions 30 to 507 of the family's 1533-position model. The record is from RNAcentral.
AUUGAACGCUGGCGGCAUGCUUUACACAUGCAAGUCGAACGGCAGCACGGGCUUCGGCCUGGUGGCGAGUGGCGAACGGGUGAGUAAUAUAUCGGAACGUACCCAGAAGUGGGGGAUAACGUAGCGAAAGUUACGCUAAUACCGCAUACGAUCUAUGGAUGAAAGCCGGGGACCGCAAGGCCUUGUGCUCCUUGAGCGGCCGAUAUCUGAUUAGCUAGUUGGUGAGGUAAAGGCUCACCAAGGCGACGAUCAGUAGCUGGUCUGAGAGGACGACCAGCCACACUGGAACUGAGACACGGUCCAGACUCCUACGGGAGGCAGCAGUGGGGAAUUUUGGACAAUGGGCGCAAGCCUGAUCCAGCAAUGCCGCGUGAGUGAAGAAGGCCUUCGGGUUGUAAAGCUCUUUUGUCAGGGAAGAAACGGUAGAGGCUAAUAUCCUUUGCUAAUGACGGUACCUGAAGAAUAAGCACCGGCUAACUACGUG